Molecule: small nuclear RNA, 66 nt
Filed under: Tupaia belangeri chinensis (Chinese tree shrew)
Lineage: Eukaryota; Metazoa; Chordata; Mammalia; Scandentia; Tupaiidae
Source: RNAcentral
GUGCUUGCUUCGGCAGCACUUAUACUAAAAUUGGAAUGAUACAGAGAAGAUUAGCAUGGCCCCUGC